RNAcentral lists this long non-coding RNA (3187 nucleotides) under Sus scrofa (pig). RNAcentral's name for it is "lncRNA (ENSSSCG00015041436.1)". Lineage: Eukaryota; Metazoa; Chordata; Mammalia; Artiodactyla; Suidae. The record is from RNAcentral.
AGCUGAGAUGAACCAGUGGCCGGUUGCUCCUGAGUAGGGAUGGCGGUCACACAAGCACAUAAAGGCUGCUACGACUUCGGAGAGGAGACGUCGCCUCUGAGCGCAGAGAGAAAACAAAAAUAAGACGGCGGAAGGGAAUACUAACGUCUCAGGACCCACAGCUCUCGUAAACAGGCUCGGAACUUGAGUUUAAAAGGAAAAUUCAGUCUCCCGGGUUCUUGCCCACGACCUGCCCGCCGGACCCUCUGGAUCACCAUGACAACCAGAAAACGCCUCCUCCCCACCCACAGGUCCCUGGAACGGACCCCCGCACCCACGGAAACUAGCAUCCCAACUGACCACACUUGGUAGAGGUGCUGAGGCUAGAAGCCACCAACAACGAAGGUCUUCCCACAAAAAUGUCACCCCAAGCCAGACUGGACCGCCUCCACUCCCAAAGGAUGCAAAACUCUCUUGGUCUUAACUAGGUUAUAGAUGCGGACAGAAAAGAUACAUCAUUGUCUUAAGUCAGAAAACAGGUUUUUGGUUUUGUUUUUUUCCCUGUAAAACUCGUACACUGAGAGGUCCCUGAAUGUUUUUCCUCUGAAAGCCUCACCUUGUUACGUUGCCUGCAAAACAAGCAGCUUCACUUCAACCGUGUCUCUUCCGCGUCUGUUUUGUUAACACACCUCUCCUUUGAAAUGAUACCUGGGAAAGAAAAAAAAAAAAAAAUGGAGAGAACGUUCCUCUGGGAAGGGGCUUGCUCCUUAUAGGAACUUUUAAAGGUCAUUUCUCCCUUAAUAUAUUUAUUUUAGCAUCCAUUGGCAAGUGAUAGAAGAGAAAUGGACACCGAGCUGGAUCAUGACGCAGAAUGUUCUAUCAGUUUAUUAGUGUGUCCAGGAAAUUCACAGCUGGCAUAGGUUGUAUCCUCCAGAGGGGUAACAGUUCAACCAAAACCUAAUCUGAAGGAUCUCACAGGAGAUACGUUCUCCAGGGAGAAAUUUUUAUCACUAAACAAGGCAAUUCUUGCUGGUACUAAUUAUCCAAAAAUAAUGUUGUUGAUUUUAACGUCAUUCCCUCUUUUUUUUUUUUUCCUUACUGUCUUUUUAGGGUGGUUCCUGCUGCAUAUGGAAGUUCCCCAGCUAGGGGUCAAAUCAGAGCUGUAGCUACCAGCCUCGCCAUAGCUCACAGCAAUGCCAGAUCAUUAACCCACUAACUGAGGCUGGGAGGUGAACCCACAUCCUCGUGGAUACUAGUUGGGUUCAUUAUUACUGAGCCACAAUGGAAACUCCCAUUCACAAUCUUUAAAAAAAAAAAAAAAAUGGCCAUUGCUAGAUAUGAAUUCUGGGGAUCCCUGGUGGCUCAGCUGGUUAAGGAUCUGGCAUUGUCAGUGGCUCUGGCGGGGUUGCUGCUGUGGCGCGGGUUCGAUCCCUGGCCGGGCAAUUUCCACAUGCUGUGGGUAUGGCCGAAAAAGAGAGAAAAGCAUCAUGUCCUCAAUGCCAGCCCUGCACUUGCUAUAAUGAACGGCUGCUGAAUUAAAUGUCGAAUAAAUAAACACCAGGUUCAUGCCAAGAAGCCGCAUAAGUGCAUACACUCAGUUAAUUUACCCUGCUGUUGUUAUUCACCACAUUAACCAGCCUCCUAGAGUUCCCAUCUAGACCCCCAAGAAAGACGGAGAGAGACUGAAAGCUAAGAGGAACAGGAAGGAAGCCUAAAGCCCAGUGGGAGGUCGGCUGGUCCCAGCACCAAGCCGUCAGCAUUUCCAUCUGUGCUUCUCUUGCACGCCUCUGCCUAUCCUGGGCUACCGGGCAACCUGCGAGAGAAGGAAAAUACAGAGGCAAGGCGGGACCGCUGAGUAGUCUUACCUACCCGAAAGGACUCCUGUGGCGAUUGCAUCAACCCACGGCAUCCAAGGUGCUUCUCACCCUGUGACUCACAGCUGUUUCCUGAGGGUUCGGUAUGCAAUGGACCCAAGCCUCGAACCCGCCCACCACUGGGACUUCGCUUCUGUCCUAAAAGAGCUGACUCCCUAGUGAAAAUACUAAUGUAUACAAAUGGGCUGUCCCUUCAGGACAGAAAGAAGGUUCAUUAAAAAGUUCCUGUAAAAGGGUCUAUUCGGCUCCAGUGUUUCUGCGUCUAGCAGCUGCUGAAGACAGAGCAUCUCGUGGAUUUAGGAAACAGUCAAAGGAUUUGGUAAUGACUGGAGGAAAGCAAUCUCAGGAAGACUUGUACGCACUUUACUACAUUAUUUACAUAAAGUGAACUCUGAAGAAUAUAUCACGGAGUCAGAAAUCAAGUUCGGCUCCCUAAGGAGCUGAGGGUAACCAAGAACCAGGAGCCAAGCCAGUGGCUUGGGCAGGUGUGCUUUGGUCUCAUCCUCUUUGCUCCUUUGCUUCUUGUCUGGAAUGCCCACUUCUUGCUAGAGGGCCUCUUGCUGAAAAGCUUUCAUCUUUUUUUUUUUUUUUAAUCUUUUUUUUUUAGGGCUGCUCCCACAGCAUAUGGAGGUUCCCAGGCUAGGGGUCCAAUCAGAGCGUAGCCGCUGGCCUGCACCACAGCCACAGCCAUGCCAGAUCCGAGCCACGUCUGCGACCUACACCAGAGUUCACAGCAACGCCGGAUCCUUAACCCACUGAGCGAGGCCCGGGAUCAAACCUGCAUCCUCAUGGAUCCUAGUCAGGUUUGUUAGCCGCUGAGCCUUUAAGGGAACCCCCAGUUAUUUAUUUAUUUAUUUAUUUUCAGUGAAACACAGCAGGUGGUUUGUUGUCCAUCAUAGGAAGAAAAAAGCAUGGCAGCUUUGCACAAGUACGGUUCUUCCACCUUCCUGACUUCCGUGUGUGAACGUGUGUCACACGCCAGCUGCCAAUCAGGGAACCCACUGUGAAGAUGAGCUGGUACCAGUGCCCUUAACCCCGAGCCAGACAAACAGCAGGAAUGAGGGGAAAACCCUCCCUCAGGGUCAUGCCCCUCGAGCUGGCGAGUGGGCGUGUGAUCCUAGGAAAGGAAUCUACCUUUUCUUUUUUUAUUUCCUUUUUAAAAAUGAAAGUGUAGUUGAUUUACAGUGAUUCAUGUGCCCAGCAAAGUGAUUUAAUGAUAUUUUGGAGUCCCCUGGCGGCUCAGCAGGUUAAGGAUCCAGCAUGGUCACUGCUGUGGCUUAGGUUACUGCAGGGGUACGGGUUUGAUCCCUGGCUUGGGAACUUCCACAUGCCAC